GGCGCUACAGCACAGAGUGGAAUAUGACCAAUGGUAAAGCCUUAUUAUAGCCUACUAGUUUGUGCUACAACAAUUGGUGCCCAGUGUGAGGCUGACUGAGUUGGACUACAGGAGUGUGCGAGACUUUGCAACCUUAGAAAAAUCAGCUGCAGGCAUGCCCCCAGGGAACCUGUCAUGGGCUUUUCCUCCAGCGUGCCAUAGGAGAGAUGAGGAUUUCUCUGCAGAUCAGGCUCUUCAUUGCAGUGAGCAAUCUGAGCUCUCCAGUUGUGAAACAGACCUCUUAAGUGCUACUACACUUCAUGACUUCAGGUAUACAGACAGUAAGGGCAAAGAGAUGCCUCCACAAUCUGGAUACUGUAAGACGUGAGUGUUGAAGGCAGACUGGAAAGCAGGUUUGGGUCUGUUUCCUUCUGCAAGUCUGAGCACCUCAGAGGAAGCUGAAGAGGAAUGGAUCACUGAGAAGCAAAAUUCUUGAACAGGCAUUCCCUAUGGAGAACUCAGGGCAGAGUCUGCAGCCCUUCCGCUUGCCUCACAGACAGUAUGAUAGACAUAAAAGUGAUAAAACUCAUUUGAAGGA
Falco peregrinus (peregrine falcon) is the source of this 577-nucleotide long non-coding RNA. RefSeq lists it as uncharacterized. NCBI's taxonomy places the organism in Eukaryota, Metazoa, Chordata, Aves, Falconiformes, Falconidae. The transcript is spliced from 3 exons. The record is from RefSeq and is a predicted model, not a curated record.